RNAcentral lists this small nucleolar RNA (80 nucleotides) under Macleaya cordata. RNAcentral describes it as "Small nucleolar RNA SNORD25". It matches the Rfam family "Small nucleolar RNA SNORD25". Rfam says of the family: U25 is a member of the C/D class of snoRNA which contain the C (UGAUGA) and D (CUGA) box motifs. U25 is found in gene clusters in plants, and within the U22 snoRNA host gene (UHG) in mammals. U25 is thought to as a 2'-O-ribose methylation guide for ribosomal RNA. Lineage: Eukaryota; Viridiplantae; Streptophyta; Magnoliopsida; Ranunculales; Papaveraceae. The record is from Rfam by way of RNAcentral.
AAUGUCGAUGAUGACUCCAUAGACCUGUAACGAUUGCGGAGAUGACCGCAAAAAUUGAACAUCUAAGGGGCUGAGGCAUU